AUUGAACGCUGGCGGUAGGCCUAACACAUGCAAGUCGAACGGCAGCACAGUAAGAGCUUGCUCUUACGGGUGGCGAGUGGCGGACGGGCGAGGAAUACAUCGGAAUCUACUUUUUCGUGGGGGAUAACGUAGGGAAACUUACGCUAAUACCGCAUACGACCUACGGGUGAAAGCAGGGGAUCUUCGGACCUUGCGCGAUUGAAUGAGCCGAUGUCGGAUUAGCUAGUUGGCGGGGUAAAGGCCCACCAAGGCGACGAUCCGUAGCUGGUCUGAGAGGAUGAUCAGCCACACUGGAACUGAGACACGGUCCAGACUCCUACGGGAGGCAGCAGUGGGGAAUAUUGGACAAUGGGCGCAAGCCUGAUCCAGCCAUACCGCGUGGGUGAAGAAGGCCUUCGGGUUGUAAAGCCCUUUUGUUGGGAAAGAAAAGCAGCAGGUUAAUACCCCGCUGUUCUGACGGUACCCAAAGAAUAAGCACCGGCUAACUUCGUG
RNAcentral lists this ribosomal RNA (492 nucleotides) under uncultured bacterium. RNAcentral describes it as "partial 16S ribosomal RNA". It matches the Rfam family "Bacterial small subunit ribosomal RNA", at positions 30 to 507 of the family's 1533-position model. The record is from RNAcentral.